CUAGCUGUCUGAAAUAUCUUUCUUUAUCAUUUCUUUGCAUAUGUAUUCAAAGUUACAUAUGCCCAAUAUAUUUACACAUGUCAUUGAUAUUAUCAUUUGACCACAUUUCUCAGUUAAACAAAUUGUCUGCAAAUCUAUGUAUUUACCAUACAUUUCGGAAUAUGUUCAAAGGCUUUUGAUAUGUUCUGAUUUGACAUACAUUUCAGCCGACAAUAAAGACUAACAAAAUUAUUCCUUUACAAUACAUUUGACAGGUCUCUGUAGAUUAAAGGAAAUGAUGCUUUACACCCCUCUAUAAAGUUCUCGUUUUGAAUUGGUUUACAUACCAGGAAAAUGUAGAUGCACCUUACACUUUAUAACCC
This 362-nucleotide long non-coding RNA is filed under the name Mytilus galloprovincialis (Mediterranean mussel). The record is from RNAcentral. Lineage: Eukaryota; Metazoa; Mollusca; Bivalvia; Mytilida; Mytilidae.